UUUCCAGAACUGGAAGUAAGCAGGAUCUGUGACGUCGUUGAGGGAAACAAACCAACCACCCCGUUCACUGAGAUUAUACAGCACAUGGUACCUGAAUUGAUUUAAUAAAAAAAUACCCAGUGAACUGAUAGUAGAAAUUUGUUUACAGAGAUCGUCAAGAAAAGCGCAAAAGAACAUGUAAAUAUUUGUGAGGGACCAAGCUGGAACUGGAAGGACUCACGUUAGCUAACUUUGUGUAACUUGCUGAGUGCGUGCUACUAACGUUGCUAUUUCAAAACUUCAACUAGUUGUGUGCUAUUUAAUCGGGUAAAAAUGCUAGCUAACUGUUGUAUUUGAUGAAGUGGUUUUUGUUGCCUGAGUAAAUUAAACGCCGGUGAAACUAAAGCUUGAAAAUGGACAAUGGCGUGAUUGAUCACCAAUCCCACGGUAUCGGUGCGUUUGACCUGUACCAUCAUUUCGUUCGAGGGGAAUAAACGAUACAAUAGGGGAAACACCAUCGCCAAAUUCAAGGGUAAAUUGGAGAUGGUUGUGGGUACCCCGGCCUCCAUUAUGGAACUACAGCUUUUCUUCAACACCACCGACAAGUUCAGAAGCUGGACGACAACCAGGCCCUGCUAGGUUCUUACCCUGUGCAUGAUGACUGCAAAAUGAAUGUACUUACUUCUGUGUUCUGAAACACUGCUCACAUGACACCCACAGGGUAUGUCCCCUGUUUAGUAUUGUUCACACUGGAGUAAGUUGGGAUCUACUGUUGAAUCUGUCUCUUAACCCAGGGGUUCCCAAACUUUUUCACUCUGGGCUCCCUUUCCAACAUUGGGGAACAUCCUGCGCACGCCACGCCUAUUUCUAUGGGCACAAGUGCGGUUCAUGGCACACUGUUCACACCCCUCUUAUUGGUGGAAAGAAUUUUGCAGGUGAAGCUUAUUUCCUGCUAUUUUACACAUUUUGUCAUAUGGUGCAAAUAAUAAUUUGCUGUUUUUCUUUUGCAAUUCUAUACAUUUUGCCACGUCUGUAUUUGAGUGACAAAAAAAAUAUCCAUCGACUCUUUUGCGGCACAGUCGAUGGCGUGCCGGACCUCGGGCUAGAAGGUCGAGGGUCUGAGACCUGCUCCCUGCUGUUUCAUUACAGUAUAGUAGAUUUCAAGCCAGGUCAUUGGAUGGGAGUGAAGUAUAACGAGCCUCUUGGGAAACAUGACGGGCAGUGUGAAGGAGAAGUGAUACUUUGAAUGUGAGAACAAGUACGUUGCCUUUGUCAGGCCCCGCACAAAGACCGUGGGGCACUUCCCAGAGGAAGACUUUCACCUGGACGAGAUGUAGGACUGUGAUGCUGUCACCCUGUCAAGGGGUGUGGGCAGAUGGGUUCAACAUAGACCUCCAGUCUGAUUACGAACCCGGGGCGAGGGACAGUGUCAUUGCGAUUAAUAACUUUAUUUUGUUAUGUGCUGGCCAGGGAGGUAUGGGUUGGACUAUAGAGAGCUGCAACUGGGGAAGGAGGCAGUAUCACCUAGGACCGACUCUAGCAUAUGACAUCUCUUGUGGCACAGCGGUCUAAAGGCACUGCAUCUCCGUGCUAGAGACGUCAUGACAGACGCCCCUAGCAACAAAAAAAAUAAAAGUGGAAUUUACUGUAUAUUGAAUGAGGAGAGAUAAGAAAAGCACAAUGUUUUUGCAUUGUUACAAAUACGUUGUUGCUGUAUUUAAUGUAAUGUCCUUUUAUUCGGUGGAUGUAGAAAGCAAGCGUUUCUAAAAUUGAUGUCCUCAGAAUUUUGAAUUGAACCUGAAUUGCCCGUCACAUCCUAGAUUCUAUAUGAAUAGGCAGUCAUAAAAAUCACAACAAUGUUCAUCAAAUGUCAAUUAUCAUCCCAAGCCAGGGUUCUAUCAAACUUCCUAAAAUAAAUCCCAUGCUUUUGAAUGCAAGAAUUCAAGCAACAACAACAUAUCUAUUUGUACUACUGACCAGUGGCAAAAUGUUCAGUUUAUUUGAAUAUCUGUUAGUUCAUUGGUUAUUGUACCAUAGAAGCUGUUUGUUUUUGUGUGUCGUGUCCCUGUUUUAGAUUCUGGAAACUUACACUGCUUCUAACACCUUAACACAACCACAAGGCUCUCCAGAGGAUUGUGCGGUCUGUACAACGCAUCACUUGGGGCAAACUACCUGCCCUCCAGGACACCUACAGCACCCAAUGUCACAGGAAGGCCAAAAAGAUAAUCAAGGACAACAACCACCCGAGCCACUGCCUGUUCACCCCGCUACCUUCCAGAAGGCAAGGUCAGUACAGGUGCAUCAGCUGGGACCGACUGGGGAAAAACAGCUAUCUCAAGGCCAUCACAGACUGUUAAACAACCAACACAGAGAGGCUGCUGCCUACAUACAGACUUGAAAUCAUUGGCCACUUUAAUAAUGUUUAUAUCUUACAUACUCUUCUCAUAUGUAUAUACUGUAUUUUAUACAAUGUAUUGCAUCUUGCCUAUGCCGUGUGGUCAUUGCUCAUCCAUAUAUUUAUACGUACAUAUUCUUAUUCCAUCCCUUUAGAUUUGUGUGUAUUAGGUAAUUAUUUUGGAUUUGUUAUAUAUUACUGCAUUGUCGGAACUAGAAGCAUUUCGCUACACUCGUAUUAACAUCUGCUAACCAUGUGUAUGUGACCAAUAAGAUUUGAUUAGAAUGUCGAAACAUCAGUUGUGCACUUUUUUUUUUUUUUUACCUUUAUUUUACUAGGCAAGUCAGUUAAGAACAAAUUCUUAUUUUCAAUGACGGCCUAGGAACAGUGGGUUAACUGCCUGUUCAGGGGCAGAACGACAGAUUUUUGUACCUUGUCAGCUCGGGGAUCUGAACUUGCAACCUUUCGGUUACUAGUCCAAUGCUCUAACCACUAGGCUACCCUGCCGCCCCAUUGACAGCAUACAGUUCAAACCGGCUGCCCAGGUGGUGACAAUGCACUUUUCAUGUAGAUAUCACGUCUUGUCUGAGCUUCAUUGUACUAAUCCUCAUCGCCACUUCUAACAGUUUGACUCAUGAACGCAUGUGAUCUGUCAUUUGUUGUGUCACUCCUGGUUGAGUGAGUUUCGUAAGAGAGAAUGUGGAUACAAAAGCAAUUGAAUCAUAUGUUCCUUUUUUUUAUUGAAUUGUAUUUUUCCCAAGAUGUUGUCAGCAACUAACAUGCCCAGAGUUGUACAAGAUUUGCCAUCUGUUUUUAUGAAAUCUCAAAGGUGUUGAUGUGCCAAAGUGUAAUGGUAUCUUAUGCAUAAUAAACGUAGUAUUACCAGCA
Oncorhynchus nerka (sockeye salmon) is the source of this 3262-nucleotide long non-coding RNA. RefSeq lists it as uncharacterized. The transcript has 4 exons. NCBI's taxonomy places the organism in Eukaryota, Metazoa, Chordata, Actinopteri, Salmoniformes, Salmonidae. The record is from RefSeq and is a predicted model, not a curated record.